RNAcentral lists this ribosomal RNA (188 nucleotides) under uncultured bacterium. Its description in RNAcentral is "partial 16S ribosomal RNA". It matches the Rfam family "Bacterial small subunit ribosomal RNA", at positions 118 to 306 of the family's 1533-position model. The record is from RNAcentral.
UGAGCAAUCUGCCCUUCUCAUCGGAAUAAGCGUUGGAAACGACGUCUAAUGCCGAAUACGACCUCCUUUCGCAUGAUCGGAGGUGGAAAGCUCCGGCGGAGAAGGAUGAGCUCGCGGCCUAUCAGCUAGUUGGUGUGGGUAAUGGCCCACCAAGGCGACGACGGGUAGCCGGCCUGAGAGGGUGACCG